CAGUAGCCGCGGUAAUACGUAGGGUGCAAGCGUUAAUCGGAAUUACUGGGCGUAAAGCGUGCGCAGGCGGUUCGUUAAGACAGAUGUGAAAUCCCCGGGCUUAACCUGGGAACUGCGCUUGUGACUGCACAGCUAGAGUAUGGCAGAGGGGGGUGGAAUUCCACGUGUAGCAGUGAAAUGCGCAGAGAUGUGGAGGAACACCGAUGGCGAAGGCAGCCCCCUGGGCCAAUACUGACGCUCAUGCACGAAAGCGUGGGGAGCAAACAGGAUUAGAUACCCCUGUAGUCCCUGUCUCUUAUAC
Molecule: ribosomal RNA, 301 nt
Filed under: uncultured bacterium
Lineage: Bacteria
Description: partial 16S ribosomal RNA
Rfam family: Bacterial small subunit ribosomal RNA
Source: RNAcentral